GAUGAACGCUGGCGGCGUGCCUAAUACAUGCAAGUCGAGCGAACGGACGAGAAGCUUGCUUCUCUGAUGUUAGCGGCGGACGGGUGAGUAACACGUGGAUAACCUACCUAUAAGACUGGGAUAACUUCGGGAAACCGGAGCUAAUACCGGAUAAUAUUUUGAACCGCAUGGUUCAAAAGUGAAAGACGGUUUUGCUGUCACUUAUAGAUGGAUCCGCGCUGCAUUAGCUAGUUGGUAAGGUAACGGCUUCCAAGGCAACGAUGCAUAGCCGACCUGAGAGGGUGAUCGGCCACACUGGAACUGAGACACGGUCCAGACUCCUACGGGAGGCAGCAGUAGGGAAUCUUCCGCAAUGGGCGAAAGCCUGACGGAGCAACGCCGCGUGAGUGAUGAAGGUCUUCGGAUCGUAAAACUCUGUUAUUAGGGAAGAACAUAUGUGUAAGUAACUGUGCACAUCUUGACGGUACCUAAUCAGAAAGCCACGGCUAACUACGUG
RNAcentral lists this ribosomal RNA (496 nucleotides) under uncultured bacterium. RNAcentral's name for it is "partial 16S ribosomal RNA". It matches the Rfam family "Bacterial small subunit ribosomal RNA", at positions 28 to 507 of the family's 1533-position model. The record is from RNAcentral.